Mustela lutreola (European mink) is the source of this 470-nucleotide long non-coding RNA. RefSeq lists it as uncharacterized. The transcript has 3 exons. NCBI's taxonomy places the organism in Eukaryota, Metazoa, Chordata, Mammalia, Carnivora, Mustelidae. The record is from RefSeq and is a predicted model, not a curated record.
AGGUGCCCAGGGUCUGGUUUGUGAGGCUGCCCUCCAUGGCUUGAGGAGGGCCCUCCGUGCCCCACUGGACUACUGCAGGGGACUCAGACAUCUGCUGGCGGUGCUGGCGUUGGCCAUGACCUCCGUGAAAGCUGAAGGCCAAACACCUACGACGUGGCUUCUCCAUGUAUCCACUCGGCUCCCCAGAGUGUGGCCUACACUGAUGAGGGAGGAGCACAGGCCCCUCCCUCAGUGGGAGGAGUCUCGGCCGCCAUCUUGUAGACCGGAGAGCUGCCGCCGUGGGCCAACUGGAAGAGGACCAUCUGCCACAGAGAGGAACAGGGGAGGGACAGUGUCAUGGGCUUGUUGCUGGAGAAUUAAGGAAAGUAAGGUUUUUUGUUUUUUGUUUUUUAAAGAUACAGCUUUCAACAACUGGAAGAGUGGAUUGGAGCAUGUGGAGAAAUGGCAAUGUAAUAAAAAAUAGAAGUAGA